CCUACGGGAGGCAGCAGUAAGGAAUAUUGGACAAUGGGCGAAAGCCUGAUCCAGCCAUGCCGCGUGAAGGAUUAAGGCCCUCUGGGUUGUAAACUUCUUUUAUAGGGGACGAAAAAAGGGAAUUCUUUCCCUCCUGACGGUACCCUAUGAAUAAGCACCGGCUAACUCCGUGCCAGCAGCCGCGGUAAUACGGAGGGUGCAAGCGUUAUCCGGAUUCACUGGGUUUAAAGGGUGCGUAGGCGGGUAGGUAAGUCAGUGGUGAAAUCUCGAAGCUUAACUUCGAAACUGCCAUUGAUACUAUUUAUCUUGAAUAUUGUGGAGGUUUGCGGAAUAUGUCAUGUAGCGGUGAAAUGCUUAGAUAUGACAUAGAACACCUAUUGCGAAGGCAGCAGGCUACGCAUAUAUUGACGCUGAGGCACGAAAGCGUGGGGGAUCAAACAGGAUUAGAUACCCUGGUAGUCCACGCCCUAAACCGAUGAUUACUCGACAUUUGUGAUACACUAUAAGUGUUNUGAGNGAAGACAUUAAGUAAUACCACCGUACGGAAGGUACGACCGCGAGGUUAGUAACGUACAAGAAGUAGUAGACGUGUGAGACGCGACCGACGACGACCGACGGGAGGGAGGAGG
This 629-nucleotide ribosomal RNA is filed under the name uncultured bacterium. RNAcentral's name for it is "bacterial SSU rRNA". It matches the Rfam family "Bacterial small subunit ribosomal RNA", at positions 338 to 1411 of the family's 1533-position model. The record is from RNAcentral.